AUCCAGCUGACGAGUUGCAAAUAAAACGAAGCGAGCGUCCUGGAU
Schistosoma rodhaini is the source of this 45-nucleotide non-coding RNA. The record is from Rfam. NCBI's taxonomy places the organism in Eukaryota, Metazoa, Platyhelminthes, Trematoda, Strigeidida, Schistosomatidae.